GACGAACGCUGGCGGCGCGCCUAACACAUGCAAGUCGAACGAGCGAGCGAGAGCUUGCUUUCUCAAGCGAGUGGCGAACGGGUGAGUAACGCGUGAGGAACCUGCCUCAAAGAGGGGGACAACAGUUGGAAACGACUGCUAAUACCGCAUAAGCCCACAGGUCGGCAUCGACCAGAGGGAAAAGGAGCAAUCCGCUUUGAGAUGGCCUCGCGUCCGAUUAGCUAGUUGGUGAGGUAACGGCCCACCAAGGCAACGAUCGGUAGCCGGACUGAGAGGUUGAACGGCCACAUUGGGACUGAGACACGGCCCAGACUCCUACGGGAGGCAGCAGUGGGGAAUAUUGCACAAUGGGGGAAACCCUGAUGCAGCGACGCCGCGUGGAGGAAGAAGGUCUUCGGAUUGUAAACUCCUGUUGUGGAGGAAGAUAAUGACGGUACUCAACAAGGAAGUGACGGCUAACUACGUG
RNAcentral lists this ribosomal RNA (466 nucleotides) under uncultured bacterium. RNAcentral describes it as "partial 16S ribosomal RNA". It matches the Rfam family "Bacterial small subunit ribosomal RNA", at positions 28 to 507 of the family's 1533-position model. The record is from RNAcentral.